GAUGAACGCUGGCGGCGUGCCUAAUACAUGCAAGUCGAACGCAUUGAGAGAAGUGCUUGCACUUUUCAAUUUGAGUGGCGAACGGGUGAGUAACACGUGGGCAACCUACCUGAUAGCGGGGGAUAACGAGUGGAAACAUUCGCUAAUACCGCAUAACAAUAGAGAAGGCAUCUUCUUUAUUUAAAAGGCGCUUUCAAGCGUCACUAUCAGAUGGGCCCGCGGUGCAUUAGUUAGUUGGUGGGGUGAAGGGCUACCAAGACGAUGAUGCAUAGCCGAGUUGAGAGACUUAUCGGCCACAUUGGGACUGAGACACGGCCCAAACUCCUACGGGAGGCUGCAGUAGGGAAUCUUCCACAAUGGACGAAAGUCUGAUGGAGCAACGCGGCGUGUGUGAUGAAGGCUUUCGGGUCGUGAGGCACUGUUGUAUGGGAAGAAAUGCUAGGCUAGGAAAUGAGCUUAGUUUGACGGUACCAUACCAGAAAGGGACGGCUAAAUACGUGCCAGCCGCCGCGGUAA
Molecule: ribosomal RNA, 516 nt
Filed under: uncultured bacterium
Lineage: Bacteria
Description: partial 16S ribosomal RNA
Rfam family: Bacterial small subunit ribosomal RNA
Source: RNAcentral